AGAGUUUGAUCCUGGCUCAGGAUGAACGUUGGCAGUGUGCCUAAGACAUGCAAGUCGAACGAAGCGCUAGUGCGGAACUCUUCGGAGGGAAGGAUUAGUGACUGAGUGGCAAACGGGUGAGUAACACGUGGAUGACCUACCCUGAAGUGGGGGAUAACCUUGGGAAACCAGGACUAAUCCCGCAUGUGCUUGUUGGUUGUGACUAACAAGGAAAGAUUUAUCGCUUUAGGAUGGGUCCGCGGGCCAUCAGCUAGUUGGUGAGGUAAAGGCUCACCAAGGCAACGGCGGCUAGCCGGCCUGAGAGGGUGAACGGCCACAGGGGUACUGAGACACGGACCCCACUCCUACGGGAGGCAGCAGUUAGGAAUCUUCCACAAUGGGCGCAAGCCUGAUGGAGCGACACUGCGUGAGGGAAGAAGGCUUUCGGGUUGUAAACCUCUAAAAGUAGGACGAUAAUGACGGUACUACCUGAGAAGCACCGGCUAACUCCGUGCCAGCAGCCGCGGUAAUACGGAGGGUGCAAACGUUAUCCGGAAUCACUGGGCGUAAAGGGCACGCAGGCGGUUAGUUAAGUCCGAUGUUAAAGCGUGGGGCUCAACCCCAUACGGGCGUUGGAUACUGGCUAACUAGACUCUUGGAGAGGUAAGUAGAAUUACCAGUGUAGCGGUGG
RNAcentral lists this ribosomal RNA (670 nucleotides) under uncultured bacterium. Its description in RNAcentral is "bacterial SSU rRNA". It matches the Rfam family "Bacterial small subunit ribosomal RNA", at positions 8 to 684 of the family's 1533-position model. The record is from RNAcentral.